Molecule: long non-coding RNA, 1661 nt
Organism: Zingiber officinale
Lineage: Eukaryota; Viridiplantae; Streptophyta; Magnoliopsida; Zingiberales; Zingiberaceae
Exons: 3
Source: RefSeq, a predicted model, not a curated record
UCCAAGUGCAAGCCACAGCCAGAAGCUUGUCUAAUUAAGCCACCAUCUCUUCUUUUUUCCUUGUACAAGACUACAACUGGGAAGAGAUCCAUGGCAAUGACAAUGGCAAUGGCAAAGAGGGAGAAGAAGCUGCAGUGCCCAACUUUCACCUGCCGGUGCCGAUUGCUAGUGAAAGAACAGAGGGCGAAGUUCUACAUUCUUCGGAGAUGUAUCAUGAUGCUAAUUUGCUGGAGUGAAAGUGAAGAAGAUCUUUGACAGCAUAAGAUGAGUCCAUUUAAAUUUAGAGCUAGUGAAGAGGGAAGAUAUAUAGAUGUGGUGUAGUAUUUGAUAUAUGUUUAUACACUUUAGCUCUGGAAUUUAGGUCUCCUGAAGCCACAGCUAGCUCGUGUAUAUCAUGCAACAGAUCAUCUUUCGAGGAGUAUGUUGUUGCUGAUUUUGUUUUUCUUUGCUGAUAUAUGGUUUUUGUUGAUAUGAGAAGUGUUUUAGUUUAGUUUAUUUUGUUUCCUUUAAAGCCAACUCCAGUUUGCAUGAUUUUCUGUAUUACUUUAAUUUCUUUUUAAUGCUCUCGUUCAUUUUACUGUAGGUGUAAUCGAUAUUUGAUAUUUGUAGAUAAACUUUUCUCCCUUGGCAUUAAACGAUUCAUGACUACUCCUGGAACUUUACAGCUUUUUUAUAUUAUGAAGCAGAAUCAACUGCUUUAAUUACUUGAUGAUGAUCCUUUCAUUGUUAACCUGAAAAGUUUUUUUCUUUCUCUUUGACGAAGAAUCUCGUAGUUUCUGUUGUUUUAGUGUUGAUUUAUGCACAAACUUUCUUUUUCUUUAACGUCUUCUCUCUUUUUCCCGGAGACAAAUAAGAAACUCUCUCUGCAAAUGCUUAAGAGAGGAUCGUGGUGUUCUUUACAUUCAUGAUGGAUAAGAAUUCUGCAGCUGAACCAAUUCAUCUCUCUUGAGAAGAUGAAUCACAGAUACUGAUGCUAACAAAGGGUCAGAACUCACAAGUUCAUCCUGAGAAUUAAUUAACACAUGCAAGAAAAGACCGAAGAAGGAAAGGAUGAAUCAUGCAAGAAAAGGAGCUAGCUGUCUGCAUGGAAACUUGAGUGUGUGACGGGUGAUGGCGACGCGAGGCAGGACGGACGUGGGAGGCCGACAGCGGGAAUCCUUGAAAUUGCGAGGGCAAAUUAAAGGCCUUUCGAUCGAAUAUUUUGCUGGAUUGGUUGCUUUUCUUCUUCAGGGGUCGGGAGGGAGGGAGACAUCGAGGUGCCACUCCACGUGGGAAACGACAGGCGAACUGGGGACGAGGUUUGGCGCCAACACGCUACGAGAUGAAGAGUCCCGGUGCAAUUGAUUUCUCUGCUGUUCCUAGUGUUGAAAAAGGCAUGGCAUUGCAUUGGGGUUAGUUAAUUAAUUGAUGUUUCAUGGAAAUCCAUUGAUCAUGAAGCAGAGUAGAGUAGAGUACUUGGAAGGGUCGAAAAUGGCAACAGCAAAGUGGGGAGGUGACGCAGCUGUGAGGAGCUAGCUAGCAAGGAUCGGACUGGCAGGGCUUCAUGCUUUUGUGUUGCUGACCUUAGAAAUUUCCAUGCAUGAGCGUGGGUUGUGGACUGCCUGGCCUACGAACAAGUCGGAGCAUAAUUAAUAUUGGCACCGUCUAAAUUUUGAACUGCA